CAAAAGUCAAGACACCUGGGACCCGGGUGUGGUGGUGUACACCUUUCAUCCCAGCACCGGGGCCGCUGAGACAGGAGGAUCUAAAUUCCAGCCCAGCCUGGGCAAUUUAGUGGGACCCUGUCUCCAGACAGGGCUGGGCAUAUAGCUCAGGGUGAAGGCUCUAAAUUCGAUCCUCAAUACCGGUAAAAAAAGCGGGAAAGAGAUAAACCCUCCCAGGUCACGCCCACAGUAAACCCCCCCUUAGGAACAGCAAAUCAGCUUUAACAUCCUGUCACCCACUCCCAUGAGCCUUUGGGGGCCACUGUCUUUCUAUGCCCUGACAGAGGGUAUCAGGGUUAAAUGUGUGACCCCAACCCUCAAGAAAUUCAGAGUCUAGGGAGACCCCAAGGAGAACCAGAUAAGAAUGGCCAGAUAAAUGCUACCGGAAGCAGGCAAAGAUACCUGAGCAGCCCACCCCCCAUUCAGCAGGAGCCUGAGCCCAUCAGCAGCGUGCUCCAGGGAGGCGACAUUCUUGCCUUGGCCAUAAAGAAGAGGACUUGAAGAAAG
Molecule: long non-coding RNA, 546 nt
Filed under: Heterocephalus glaber (naked mole-rat)
Lineage: Eukaryota; Metazoa; Chordata; Mammalia; Rodentia; Bathyergidae
Description: lncRNA (ENSHGLG00100048152.1)
Source: RNAcentral